AGUGAACGCUGGCGGUAGGCCUAACACAUGCAAGUCGAACGGCAGCACAGGAGAGCCCGCUCUCUGGGUGGCGAGUGGCGGACGGGUGAGGAAUACAUCGGAAUCUACUCUGUCGUGGGGGAUAACGUAGGGAAACUUACGCUAAUACCGCAUACGACCUACGGGUGAAAGCAGGGGACCUUCGGGCCUUGCGCGAUUGAAUGAGCCGAUGUCGGAUUAGCUAGUUGGCGGGGUAAAGGCCCACCAAGGCGACGAUCCGUAGCUGGUCUGAGGGGAUGAUCAGCCACACUGGAACUGGGACACGGUCCAGACUCCUACGGGAGGCAGCAGUGGGGAAUAUUGGACAAUGGGCGCAAGCCUGAUCCAGCCAUACCGCGUGGGUGAAGAAGGCCUUCGGGUUGUAAAGCCCUUUUGUUGGGAAAGAAAUCCAGCUGGCUAAUACCCGGUUGGGAUGACGGUACCCAAAGAAUAAGCACCGGCUAACUUCGUGCCAGCAGCCGCAGUAA
This 506-nucleotide ribosomal RNA is filed under the name uncultured bacterium. Its description in RNAcentral is "partial 16S ribosomal RNA". It matches the Rfam family "Bacterial small subunit ribosomal RNA", at positions 29 to 523 of the family's 1533-position model. The record is from RNAcentral.